Unclassified non-coding RNA from Marmota marmota marmota (Alpine marmot), 325 nucleotides. Its record names the gene 7SK. It matches the Rfam family "7SK RNA". From Rfam's summary of the family: 7SK was discovered as an abundant small nuclear RNA in the mid-70s but a possible function has only recently been suggested. Two independent studies have found that 7SK RNA binds the CDK9/cyclin T complex (known as elongation factor P-TEFb). NCBI's taxonomy places the organism in Eukaryota, Metazoa, Chordata, Mammalia, Rodentia, Sciuridae. The record is from Ensembl.
AGGUGUGAGGGUGAUCUGGCUGUGACAUCUGUCACCCCAUUGAUCACCAAGGAUGUUUCGGCUGGUGUGGCUAGCUAAGCAAGUGUCCCCUUCCUCCCUCACCGCUCCAUGUGCGUCCUCCCAAAGUUAUGCACCCAGUUGAAGAAGACCACCUUCCUGGGUAGAGGAGGAUGGUUCUUCCGUCAGUCAAGGGUACUCAUAAGUAGCUGUGCUCCCCUGCUAGAGCCUCCGAACAAGCUCUGAAAUUGUCAAUGACACAAAAAAAUGAAGAAAAAUUGAGGAACUGUUCAAAUCAAAGCCAACUUAAGAAAGACAAUGCUUGGUU